RNAcentral lists this ribosomal RNA (613 nucleotides) under uncultured bacterium. Its description in RNAcentral is "bacterial SSU rRNA". It matches the Rfam family "Bacterial small subunit ribosomal RNA", at positions 67 to 677 of the family's 1533-position model. The record is from RNAcentral.
CGGAAACAUGUCUAGCCUGCUAGAUGAUGUCGAGUGGCGGACGGGUGAGUAAUACUUAGGAACAUGCCUUUGGGUGGGGGAUAACUAUUGGAAACGAUAGCUAAUACCGCAUGACGUCUACGGACCAAAGGGGGCUUCGGCUCCCGCCCAGAGAGUGGCCUAAGCGAGAUUAGCUAGUUGGUGUGGUAAAGGCUCACCAAGGCGACGAUCUCUAGCUGUUCUGAGAGGAAGAUCAGCCACACUGGAACUGAGACACGGUCCAGACUCCUACGGGAGGCAGCAGUGGGGAAUAUUGCACAAUGGGGGAAACCCUGAUGCAGCCAUGCCGCGUGUGUGAAGAAGGCCUUCGGGUUGUAAAGCACUUUCAGUUGUGAGGAAAGUUUGAUGGUUAAUACCCAUUAGAUGUGACGUUAACAACAGAAGAAGGACCGGCUAACUCCGUGCCAGCAGCCGCGGUAAUACGGAGGGUCCGAGCGUUAAUCGGAAUUACUGGGCGUAAAGCGCACGCAGGCGGUUUGUUAAGCUAGAUGUGAAAGCCCUGGGCUCAACCUGGGAAUUGCAUUUAGAACUGGCAGGCUAGAGUUUUGGAGAGGGGAGUGGAAUUCCAGGUGUA